Molecule: long non-coding RNA, 3013 nt
Organism: Scophthalmus maximus (turbot)
Lineage: Eukaryota; Metazoa; Chordata; Actinopteri; Pleuronectiformes; Scophthalmidae
Exons: 5
Source: RefSeq, a predicted model, not a curated record
AGGAAGAGAAAGAGACGGUGGAUGGAGCAGAUGAAGGGGAAGAAGAGGACCUGGAGAUGGAGUGAUACGGCGGAGGGGAGGGGCGGAGGGGUAAAGUAGAACCACCUGUGGUUGAAAACAACAUUCUUGCGACUGGCUGCAUUGCUAACUGCCUGGCACCCUCAUCACGCUCGUGUGCUGGCGGUUAAGUGUAAUGGCCAUGUGUGUUUUGCAGACAUGUGAGCGUGUGUGUGAGUGUGUGUGUGUCAGAGUACUGUACAUGUGUGUUUACAUGCUACUUCGCUGCCCUGAUGGUCGGUCGGUCGAUCUAAAUUACAUGGCUGGCCAGAGCAGAUUUAGCGACAGAAUAAAACAGCUGGAACCGAAAAAACCCCAACCACCAGUUUGAGGUGAUUGUUUCAGCUGUCUGGAUGUGUUUUUGUGUUCUUGUUGUUUUCCUGCGUGUGUGUGUGUGUGUGUGUGAACGGUUAUUCUUACUACGCUGAAACAGCCGCCCGCGAAACACACAAGUCUUGGCCGCCACGGCCGCCGCCGUCUCGGUGCGUGUUUGUCGCACCCGUUCCCAGGAGCGCCACAGAGGCCUCUGUGGCCACGACAGCUGUAAGCUGUCAUCCGACUGGUGAUCGGCACAAUUACCCACGAGAUUGAACCACAAGUUCGCGAAGGCCACAGGCAAAAUCUCAAGAGGCUGGAUCUGCUCACACAGAGUGAUACGACAUCCAAACAGCAGCCACAGAUUCUGUAAUCGAUUUUUUUUUUUUUGCCACUUGGGGGCAGAGAAACUCCACAACAAGUUAAAACCCCACAAAGCUUUUGACGUGUCGUCACCUUAUGAAGUUGUUGCGUUAGCGGAGGGACAUGGAGCAACGUAACACAUUGUUGUCCACCUGAUGAAUACAAGUCAGACUUGAAGAGUGCACGGAGAACCCAAGACGAAUGCCUUGUCUCGCAACAUUUAAGAAAGUGAAAGAAAAAGAAUGGAUCUGCCCGUGUAUCGUGAUCCGCUCUUUCAUGCCCCAUCGCUCCGCAAAAUGUACAAAAAGUCGUUUUUUAAGUUAUCGUGUUGGAAAAAGAAGGAAAACCCCAAUAAUAUUCCCCUGUCCUUUUUUCUCUGUUUUGGUCUCCACCAUCUUCUCUCCAGCCGGUACAUGUUCCACAGCCUGUACCGGCUGCUCGUCUCUCACAGUGUCCGUCUGCUGUGGACAGGGGCUUCAUCAGAGCUUGUUUGCUGAAACCAGCUGCUGCUGGAAAUAGAUUUUGAUGAAAGCGCCGAGACUGAACCAGGAGCAAGAGGUUAAAACAAAGCUGCAGAGCUGCUGACACUUCUCUUUGUGUUGAGGACGGACACGAUGUGAGGAAAAUAACAUUGUUCGAUACUGUUAAGAUGAUGACUUGUUGCGACACCAAACCAUUUUAAGGGUAUCGACUGAGUCAGUAUCACCAUGUAGCAAAUUUACGCCAAACGGUGGGGACGUGAGUCCACCCAACUCCAGACCAGUGGGUGGCGGUAAUGCACCAAAAUCGUUUUUGCCAACCGCCAAUAAAACCAGGAAGAAGAGGAGACCAAACACCAUCUCACUUGAGGAAACACCGGGUCAAAUGACCGAAGGGGCGAUCAGUCGCGGCACACUCAUUCGAUAGGGUGAAUAAAAACUUUAACGUGAGCACGCCUGCCGCCAUUUAACCCUCCAUGGACGACAAAGAUAUCAAGGACAUCACAAGAAUUAAAAAAACAACCAGCAGGAACAGAAGACGUUUGUUGAAACGAGUCUCGACGGACCAGAGGGUCCAAGGUGUCGUAGUCGACCGUCACGGAGCCGCCGUUGUGCCACAGCUCUCGUCCUGCACAUGGAGGAACAACACACACACCAGCAGACGCAGAGGAAAAGCAACAGCUCCACUUUUCCAUCGACUGGGAACCGCGGAUCUGGAGCGGUUCAUAAGAGAGAGAUCAGACAGGUGAGGUCCCUGAACGUCACACACACCUGCUCGACAGAUCCAGGGUCCAAGACACACUUCCACUCACCAUGAUGUCGCCUGUGAGCAGCUGGGCCGGCUGCAGCACGACGUACAGUCGGUCCGUCCGUCCGCCGCUGACGUGGCUGCAGUGGAGGUGAACACGUGUUACCUGCUUCAUCGUGUGUGUGUGUGUGUGUGUGUGUGUGUGUGUGUGUGUGUGAGUGUACACAGACGUUUACAUGAUGAUGUGCUGUGUUUCUUACUAAACUGCUGAUGUGCACACGGCCUGCAGACUCUGGUAGACUCUCAGAAAGAGACAACAGCCUGAGAAAAAACACAAAGACUAAAACUGAUUAAAAACCAAAUGGAUGCACUUGAAUAACUUCGGUCCACUUUUGGGACUUUCAGCCUCAAACAGAGAAAAGGACGUUGUACUUAACAUAUGAUAUGUACAAUCAUAAUUAUCCAGUCGAGAGGGAAAACACAUGGAGGAUCCACAUGCUGCCUACUGUACCUCCGUCCGCUCGUGUUGUGGGGAGACCGUGAAGGACGACGCAGAGGAGGAAAGUCGGAGAGGGACACAUCCUCAGUCGUCCUCUUAACAAACUGCCCAACAUCCACACGUACCUGGAGGGAAGAAACCGACACGUUCAUCCUGUCACCUCCAACAGGGACGUUCUCUUUGUCUGUUUGUUUGUUUGUCAGCAGGAUAUCGCAAUAACUACAGAACAGAUUUUUAAAAACAAACUUGGUGGGAGGAUGGAACAUGGGCCAAAGAACCAGUUAAAGUUGUCGAGUAUCCAGACAACGGGUCAAAUCCAGGAUUAUUUUUAUAAUCACUGUGGUGUCAAUUUCUCAUAUUAUCAUGUAUUAACAUUAUCUGUGAGAGAUAGGACAUUUUUUGACAUUUUCACCAAUUUCCCUUGGAAUAAUGGAUGAUUUGAUGAAAAAUAUCGUUCUCCCAAAUAUCUUUUAAAGAGGACUGAUAUCUGAGAGUUUGUGCAAUUUGGUGCAGAUACAAAGAAAAAAUGCAGAUCAUGCACAUUUAAAUGUG